This 253-nucleotide ribosomal RNA is filed under the name uncultured bacterium. RNAcentral's name for it is "partial 16S ribosomal RNA". It matches the Rfam family "Bacterial small subunit ribosomal RNA", at positions 524 to 776 of the family's 1533-position model. The record is from RNAcentral.
UACGAAGGGGGCUAGCGUUGCUCGGAAUCACUGGGCGUAAAGGGUGCGUAGGCGGGGCUUUAAGUCAGGGGUGAAAUCCUGGAGCUCAACUCCAGAACUGCCUUUGAUACUGAAGAUCUUGAGUUCGGGAGAGGUGAGUGGAACUGCGAGUGUAGAGGUGAAAUUCGUAGAUAUUCGCAAGAACACCAGUGGCGAAGGCGGCUCACUGACCCGAUACUGACGCUGAGGCACGAAAGCGUGGGGAGCAAACAGG